Molecule: small nucleolar RNA, 107 nt
Filed under: Oryza punctata
Lineage: Eukaryota; Viridiplantae; Streptophyta; Magnoliopsida; Poales; Poaceae
Description: Plant small nucleolar RNA R71
Rfam family: Plant small nucleolar RNA R71
About the family: R71 is a member of the C/D box family of snoRNAs containing the C (UGAUGA) and D (CUGA) box motifs.
Source: Rfam by way of RNAcentral
AACCCAUGAUGAGGACAGGCAGCGACAUAUUCCUGCAACUUUUCCCAAACUUCUGGGAUCGUCUCAUCUCUUGUCUGCUGGAAGUUGGAUAUUCUUCCACGAAGGAC